Neodiprion virginianus is the source of this 2283-nucleotide long non-coding RNA. RefSeq lists it as uncharacterized. NCBI's taxonomy places the organism in Eukaryota, Metazoa, Arthropoda, Insecta, Hymenoptera, Diprionidae. The transcript has 4 exons. The record is from RefSeq and is a predicted model, not a curated record.
GCAGUCCUGGUAGUGGUAGAUGACCAACAACUAUACAUCCGCCGUCCCAGCAGUCGUACGCGCUCAUCCGAGAUCAAGUUUUUCUCGAGUUCCGAACCUCGGAGCGAGCUGCACUUGAAUCCAAGUUGGUUUCCUGGCACGCGGUUCGUCCUGUCGUUUAUUUCCCCCUCGAAGCUUGCGUCCUCCCGUCCUACCAAGGGUCAUUACUUUCUGUCAUUGCCUUUAAUUACAUCAGGUUGCUGCCGCUUGUGGUGGUGGUGGUGGUGGUGGCGGUCGCUGUUGUUGUUAUGCAACGUGACCGCAGCUAUAACGUUCCUUGCGGAAUAUCGGUACCCUACGGGGUCCGCGUUCCAGGACUCGCCUUGUUGGUCCAGGAGGUAUGACCCCACUUUCCUGUAAGGCUCCGUUUCUGAGGAGGCAAGCUGAGGGGGGGAAUCCUGAUCGACUGCUAGGUACUCCGAUUAAUCCAGUUCCAGCUCGCUAAAAUUCCCCGCGCGAGAGACAAGAGUGUGCCGAUCGGCCCAGGGUUAGUUAAUUAAUCUCACUUAACGUAUAUACGGCGCUCUCAGUUCGCGCGCAAUCAAACCUCGACGGAGCCAGGGACGCGAGCACUGAUUGCUGCAGCGUCAGCGCGACUCCUUUCGGAGGUAACGAGUGGGACCACCCAAACACCGAAAUCAUAGCGGGGACGGAUUAUCAUCUGCGAAGAAGUAUCGCGCCGCACGGUACCGCCUCGCGGUUCCAAUGCUGUCCGGGUCAGGAGCCGCAAAACUGCUGUACAAAGCUAAUAUCUGCACUUACUUUACGCAGCACUUCACCUUCAGAUGAUUCCAACCUGAAUCUGACAACCCGCUCUUACCGUCAGCUAUUUAUGGCGUUACUAAGAGGAAUUUUACUUACGCUAUGUCCAUCACAUCGUGAGAAAUUCAGACCAGUACGAGUUGAGACGAAAGGUUUUAGAGAACGGAUAAACGAGAAACUAACUCACCUUCAGAGCGGCAGUGCUCGAUCGAUUUCCUCCAACGGUUAUGGCGUAAACUUCGAUCUCGUACCAAGGAACUCCAGCUUCCCGGUCCAGCGCAGCAGCAGUCGACAGAAUGCCACUCUUCGUGUCCACUUCGAAUAACCUGUCUACCUGUGGACCACCACUUCCCGCGGCAUUUCAUCAUCUUCAAAAGGUACAAUCAGUGUCAAAUAAGUCUCCGAGGACCUCCUCUCGGCCUGCACUGCCUCGUCAGUUGCUCGCACACCAACCUGAUAUUUCGAAGUGCGUUCAAAGUCAUCCAAUGAUCUUGGAAGUCUCAUGAAAAUUUGCACCGACACGCGACGUUCGUUGCUGCAGCGUUCGAAAGGGUUCGAGACAAAAGGGAGAUGGCUAUUGUCGUCACAUGUUUCACUGCAAGUUUAGUUCGUAGGUAAUUCAGCUUCGUUCGGGUAACGUGAGAAAUAACUUUGGCGUAGGUACGUUGUACAUAUGGAUACAAGGUUCUUGUACGAAGGUUAAUGGAAGGUCGAUACAGCGAUGCUUGCCUGAAAAUUCCAUCGCAAUUUGGGCUUUCCUAUAACGCGGUACAAGCUGCGUGUCCACCUUCUUCUUCAAUAUUGUAAACGGUUAUUUACUUUUUCUUUUCUUUUUAACGACAAAUAUUCAUGAAUAAUGUACCAAGGUAGGCCAACCAAGAGCACGAAUAUUUUCAUUUCAUUGUUCGGUAGGUAGAUCUAUACCGGUAUAAUAACAUAUAACAGCCAAGAGAAAGAUUCGAUAAAAUUCGCUGAUCGCGGUGAGUUCCGAACGAGGCUACCUAAUACCGUUAAUUGUUAGUUGACCUCAAGAUUAUUACGUGUCUGAGCUGAGUAAUUACUUUGCUCAUCAAUUAAGACCAUCCUUAGCACUCACGAAAAUAUAUUUUCUCACAUUCUCUUUCCAUUAGUCAAAAAUUUACAUGGCAUGAAACCUUUAUCGAAUUAACCGCAUGCGGACAUUCACGUCUACACAUUGCGGAUACUCUUUUUUUGUUCAGUGAUUUUUGAUUUAUUGCUCAGCUUCGUUCGCCUUUCAUUUAACUGUCUCAAGUUUCAAGCAUAACUAUCAUAAUUGUACCGGUAGCUCUCCCAAGACUGGAGCCAAGAUCCGCAAUAAAAGAUUAAUUUGUGUCUAGCUACAAUAUUUCACAAAAAAAAUUUACCACCAACUGUCAUUGCAUAUGAAAAACAAUUUGCGAUGCGAAUAACAGUGCUGAUAAUCAACGCUGAUUGUGCAUUCGCAACGGAUGAAUGUCCCAU